GUUUCCAACAGUGCUAUAUAUUGAAGCUUAGCUACGAUUGCUUUAACAAUAAAUAUUUUGCCCACAUUUAUGAAACUGGGAAAAUAUAAAAUGUUUUGGCAACAUUACAAGUUUCGAUUACGAUCAGACUUCAUUGAGAAAACUGAAAAGGUUAUCUCAAAUUAUUAAGUGUUUUCAAUCUUUUCUUGAUUUACUUACGCCCUCACGAUGUCGGACGCCCCUGGUCGCCCCAUGAAGUUCCCUUACACGUUCUCAGCGAAGAUCGCUCAGUUCCCAUAUAAAUUUUACCUCCAGAAUCUGUGGCUUUGGCGUUACUGGGCUGCCGCCAUCGUAAUUUCCUCACCACUCUUCUACAAAAUUCACAAAAUGUGUAAGCACCUGAAUAUUUUAUGCAAUUUUUAUUAAAUAUGACCAAAUAGGAUCAAUUCCAGUUACAAAAGCAAAAAUUACAAGAAUGCGAUACUCAUUAAUAAAAAAAAAACCUAACAUUGUUCCAAAUUCGUAUUAUUACAGAAAAUUAAUUUGGCGGUCCUGUUUUGUAAUUGCCUUGCUUUCCCUUUGUUAUAGACUACACUCUCCUAAGAUUUGAUAAAUGGUAGCCAUGUAAACAUGUAAAAAUUGUUUUUUGGCAUAACUAACUGGACAUCAUUAUAAUCCAGUGUGUUCUCCACAAUAUUUCCAAAUUUCAACAUAUAACUAUUAUAACCAUACUUUUGUUUAUAAUUAUUUUUAACUUCACUAAUGAACCUAUAGAAAAUCGGUUGCUUGAUAAGAUGUAAGUGUAGAAACAGACUAAAAGAGACAAAACCUUUGUUUUUCAUUUUUUUGGAGAGAAACUAAUACUAAAAUCAAUCAUACAUUUCUAGUUCUGUUUUAAUUAUUAUUUUGUGAUUAAUCUUACUUACCAACACUCUUUUUAUUAUACACACCCAAUUAUCUCUAUGAUUAAGCAUUAUAUUUAACCCUAUUGAUAAUCUAUAAAGAAAAAAGGAUAAUUAAUUUCAACUUCUGACCAAAUUGAUGCACAAGUAUUCUAUCAGCCUGUAUCAUUUUUGUUUGCAAAAAUAAAUACUCCAAACUUCAUUUUGAGUCAAUUUAAAAAGAUCAUUAACCAAUAACCAAUUCUUGACAACAGGACAACACAAUAAAGCAAUUCACUGGCAGGUGUCAGCAGUUAUGGUGAAUAUUAUGUAGCAUUUUAAGAGUUUGUCUAUGUUUAUUUUGUUAUUUUUCAGCAAACUCCCCUGAAAAUGUAAGCAAGUGGGCUGAAAUCAGAAGGAAAGAAGCUGCCGAACACCACUAAAUGUAGUAGUUCCAAUCACAGCUUGUAAUAAAUUGUUUGAUUUAUUUAUGUUGUAAGCAAUAAUAAAAUCAUGGGCUAGUU
Bombyx mori (domestic silkworm) is the source of this 1384-nucleotide RNA transcript. RefSeq lists it as uncharacterized. The transcript has 3 exons. The record is from RefSeq and is a predicted model, not a curated record. Lineage: Eukaryota; Metazoa; Arthropoda; Insecta; Lepidoptera; Bombycidae.